This 403-nucleotide ribosomal RNA is filed under the name bacterium. Its description in RNAcentral is "partial 16S ribosomal RNA". It matches the Rfam family "Bacterial small subunit ribosomal RNA", at positions 355 to 776 of the family's 1533-position model. The record is from RNAcentral.
UGGGGAAUAUUGCACAAUGGAGGGAACUCUGAUGCAGCGACGCCGCGUGAACGAAGAAGGCUUUCGAGUCGUAAAGUUCUUUUAUAUGGGAAGAUAAUGACGGUACCAUAAGAAGAAGCCCCGGCUAACUACGUGCCAGCAGCCGCGGUAAUACGUAGGGGGCUAGCGUUGUCCGGAAUCACUGGGCGUAAAGGGUUCGCAGGCGGAAAUGCAAGUCAGGUGUAAAAGGCAGUAGCUUAACUACUGUAAGCAUUUGAAACUGCAUAUCUUGAGAAGAGUAGAGGUAAGUGGAAUUUUUAGUGUAGCGGUGAAAUGCGUAGAUAUUAAAAAGAAUACCGGUGGCGAAGGCGACUUACUGGGAUCAUUCUGACGCUGAGGAACGAAAGCGUGGGUAGCAAACAGG